Molecule: long non-coding RNA, 241 nt
Organism: Osmia bicornis bicornis
Lineage: Eukaryota; Metazoa; Arthropoda; Insecta; Hymenoptera; Megachilidae
Exons: 3
Source: RefSeq, a predicted model, not a curated record
CUGCAAAAUUCAUCCCCGAUGAACUUACCACCGUGGUUCCUGAGAAAAACCGAUAUCGCGCAUGCUCUCAACAAGGUUAACUCAAUUGAAAAUGCAAUAAAAGCGUGUGCAGGGAUAAGGUGGAUGGUUUUUCGCUUCCAUUUGAACGAUGGGUGGAAAACCUCGUUAGAUACACCCCUUACACUCGAUUGAGCAUUCACUGAAGCGACGAACGAAAACGCAAAGCCAGCAAGUAAACUUG